This 355-nucleotide long non-coding RNA is filed under the name Numida meleagris (helmeted guineafowl). RNAcentral describes it as "lncRNA (ENSNMEG00000005194.1)". Lineage: Eukaryota; Metazoa; Chordata; Aves; Galliformes; Numididae. The record is from RNAcentral.
ACGGAUUCAAAAUUCAGUUGUGUUUGUGCAUGUAUGUAUCUGUACUAUCUACCUACAUAUCUAUCUAGUCUACCAAUCUAUCAUCUAUAUAUCUUCAUUCUGUUCACAAUUUGAUCCUUUUCUUUUUUUUUUUCUUUUUUUUUUUUUUUCAGAUUACUUGUGAAAUAAUUUGGCUAAUUCUUGUCUUGGAUAAUUUUGUAUACGCUUGAUGACCAAAGAUGACAAGCAGUGCAGUGGUUGGCUUCCACUGGAUGGGAACUUUCCCAGAGGUACUACACGUUAGAUCCACCCGAGAACUGCCAUCUCAUACAUGGAAAAAAUAUUAGAUGUAGUCCCAUUCCUGGACAAAUCAAAA